UGGGGAAUAUUGCACAAUGGGCGCAAGCCUGAUGCAGCCAUGCCGCGUGUGUGAAGAAGGCCUUCGGGUUGUAAAGCACUUUCAGCGGGGAGGAAGGCGUUAAGGUUAAUAACCUUGGCGAUUGACGUUACCCGCAGAAGAAGCACCGGCUAACUCCGUGCCAGCAGCCGCGGUAAUACGGAGGGUGCAAGCGUUAAUCGGAAUUACUGGGCGUAAAGCGCACGCAGGCGGUUGAUUGAGUCAGAUGUGAAAUCCCCGGGCUUAACCCGGGAAUUGCAUCUGAUACUGGUCAGCUAGAGUCUUGUAGAGGGGGGUAGAAUUCCAGGUGUAGCGGUGAAAUGCGUAGAGAUCUGGAGGAAUACCGGUGGCGAAGGCGGCCCCCUGGACAAAGACUGACGCUCAGGUGCGAAAGCGUGGGGAGCAAACGGG
This 429-nucleotide ribosomal RNA is filed under the name Chloroflexota bacterium. RNAcentral describes it as "Chloroflexi bacterium partial 16S ribosomal RNA". It matches the Rfam family "Bacterial small subunit ribosomal RNA", at positions 355 to 776 of the family's 1533-position model. Lineage: Bacteria; Bacillati; Chloroflexota. The record is from RNAcentral.